GCCCUGAUGUGGGGGAUAACCAUUGGAAACGAUGGCUAAUACCGCAUAGUAGCUUCGGCUUAAAGAGGGGGACCUUCGGGCCUCUCGCGUCAGGAUAUGCCCAGGUGGGAUUAGCUAGUUGGUGAGGUAAAGGCUCACCAAGGCGACGAUCCCUAGCUGGUCUGAGAGGAUGAUCAGCCACACUGGAACUGAGACACGGUCCAGACUCCUACGGGAGGCAGCAGUGGGGAAUAUUGCACAAUGGGCGCAAGCCUGAUGCAGCCAUGCCGCGUGUGUGAAGAAGGCCUUCGGGUUGUAAAGCACUUUCAGUCGUGAGGAAGGGUGUGUAUUUAAUAGAUGCGCACUUUGACGUUAGCGACAGAAGAAGCACCGGCUAACUCCGUGCCAGCAGCCGCGGUAAUACGGAGGGUGCGAGCGUUAAUCGGAAUUACUGGGCGUAAAGCGCAUGCAGGUGGUUCGUUAAGUCAGAUGUGAAAGCCCGGGGCUCAACCUCGGAAUAGCAUUUGAAACUGGCGAACUAGAGUACUGUAGAGGGGGGUAGAAUUUCAGGUGUAGCGGUGAAAUGCGUAGAGAUCUGAAGGAAUACCAGUGGCGAAGGCGGCCCCCUGGACAGAUACUGACACUCAGAUGCGAAAGCGUGGGGAGCAAACAGGAUUAGAUACCCUGGUAGUCCACGCCGUAAACGAUGUCUACUUGGAGGUUGUGGCCUUGAGCCGUGGCUUUCGGAGCUAACGCGUUAAGUAGACCGCCUGGGGAGUACGGUCGCAAGAUUAAAACUCAAAUGAAUUGACGGGGGCCCGCACAAGCGGUGGAGCAUGUGGUUUAAUUCGAUGCAACGCGAAGAACCUUACCUACUCUUGACUUCUACAGAAGCCAGCGGAAGACGCAGGUGUGCCUUCGGGAACUGUAAAACAGGGGCUGCAUGGCUGUCGCCAGCUCGGGUUGGGAAAGGUGGGGUAAGUCCCCCACGAACGCAACCUUAACCUUGUUUGCAACCAGUAAAGGCCGGGAC
RNAcentral lists this ribosomal RNA (1012 nucleotides) under Vibrio oceanisediminis. Its description in RNAcentral is "bacterial SSU rRNA". It matches the Rfam family "Bacterial small subunit ribosomal RNA", at positions 128 to 1137 of the family's 1533-position model. The record is from RNAcentral. Lineage: Bacteria; Pseudomonadati; Pseudomonadota; Gammaproteobacteria; Vibrionales; Vibrionaceae.